This 2902-nucleotide long non-coding RNA is filed under the name Zea mays. Its description in RNAcentral is "long non-coding RNA (ZMAY_LNC004902)". The record is from RNAcentral. Lineage: Eukaryota; Viridiplantae; Streptophyta; Magnoliopsida; Poales; Poaceae.
CUGGCCUUAAGCGCAAUAGAUUCUCACGCAAACCACGCGUUUUGUUGACCUGGUGCGCUCGCUACAUGGUUGGAUGGCAUCGGGGUAUAAAGCUGGGACUACCCUCGUCGGCCCUUGCCGCCGCGACGCCAGCCGGACCGUCGUCCGCCCUAACCAUUGGGAAUCAGACCUCUGGGGCUUCCUUUCGAGCUCAUUGUCGCCCGGCGUUUGUGGAAGGUCUGGGGGGAUCUCCACCCCGUGUUGAUCGCGCACGCACUGCUAAUUGGUCUCUGAGGGUUAGCGGUCGAUGGCAAUCGCUCGCCGUGAAUCCAGCGCCGCCGUCUGACCGCCAAGUGCCGGGGUCGGCAACCUCUGCGUGCAUGAUUUCUGGUAAUUCUCCCUUUCGUAUGUUCGCUACCAUCUCCUCUUCGUGUUUCUGUGAUCCAAUUUGAGGAUGGGGACAUGUGCGUGUCCCGUGGGUGGCUUGUCGGCGAAGCCCCGCCGCGGCGGCAUUUGCGUUGCCGUCACUGUAUCGGAGUUGGGGGAAAGAGAGAUGACCGUGGAUCUUCAAAUGUGUGGUGCAGAUUUGAAAUAGGGAGAACGUUUAGGCCGGGACCUUCGUGUCCAUAGAUCAAAGGAUGGGUGGUGUAGAUUUAGUUGGCCAUACCCGAUGGGGGAGGCCCGGCUCUCGAACGUUGAUAAUCGGAUCCACGGUAGGGACUAGACUUGGGUUAAUUAAAUCCGGGCCAUGAACUCGGGAUCUGGGGCCACAAAUGCGUACCGUUUCAGAUCAGGGUGAUCUAAUCUGGGCGCUUGAUUGAUGAUCCAACGGCCCUGAUCGCGCAAUACCCCUUCGCUGUUUGCGUUUUCUAAACGAGACCCUAGAAGAAUAGAGUAUCAACCCGCAGUCCAUCACUGUAUAACUCUGAGUCUCGGGAAUUUUAUAGUUUAGCCCCUGUACUCUUUGGUAGUUUUCGCGUAGUCUAGACAUUUAAUAAAAUCGAGAAAUUAAUUUGAAAAAUGAUUUUUAAUAUAAAAUAAAUCCAGAAACUUGUAUAAAUGAUAUUAAAUCCAUCUUAACUCCAAAUCGAUUCAUUCCAGUGGCAUUAAUUUUUUUAAUAUUGUUUAUCACAUAGUAACUUUGUUUAGCCAUGAAACUUGAAUUAAAAUUAUUCACUUGAAUUACUCUACUCUAGGUACUAAAUAACUUCGGAAAAACAUAACUAAUUCAUUUUAACUCUGUUUCAAUCCGUUCAAGUUGCGCUAGAUUCAUAUGAAUAUUUAUUAUGUAGUAACAGUAUUAAUUAUACCAUAUUGUAUAAUUUUAUAGUUAGAUAUAUAUUUAACCUAUGUCUACUAGAUUAACUCUUUUAAUCAAAGCUAACAUGUCCAUAGUUAUAAUUUGGGUUAAAAUGUGAUCUCUAGUCAAGUUAUAAUUAAGAUUAAAGUAGAAUUAAUUAUUCGUAGAAUAAUCUCUCAUAUGAUUUACGCUAAUCAAUUUAUAAUAUAGUUUGGUAGAUAAAUCAUAGGGAUCUCCCAUAAAUCAUAACUUUAUAACCGUAACUCCGAUUUUAGUAGUUCUCGAACUCACGAUCUCGUAGCAACGCGUAGAUUAUUAAUACGCAGUUUGUUCUUAUGUUUGGUGUUAUGUUAAUUUUGUCUAUACCAUGUUUGUUUGUAUUGCUACGACUAGCGCGAGGCUACGAGUCAUGUGAAGAUCAUCCUGGUACCUGGAAUCUUAAGUCCCAGGCAAGUUGUGCCCUUGAUCACUUCUUUUUACUCAAUCAUGUUCUUAUUAAUCAUAAUGAUAUGCAUAGGUUAAUUUUGAUGGGACCCAAUAGGUUACCCUAGUUUGACUAUCUUUAUACCUUGUUUAUCACUGAAUUUUUGGGUAGUAUCUGUUAUUGCUUUAUGUGAUUUUGGGUAUAGAGAUACACAAUGUUCAUGAUCAUACUUUUAUCAAUUGUUAUUUACUAUUCAUGAUGAGAUCAUUAUGUUAAUUGGAACAUAGAGCGAGCACUCGGGAAAACAGUGCUACCACAAGAGUGGUAUGGGACGCCCUUGGCUGACUAGUUAGGAAAGCUAGUGGAGGACUACCUUACCCGAAAGGGACAAGGGCAGUAAGGGAGUGGUUAGUGUAGGGAGGCCUUGGGUUGAUUUUGCUGCGAUGACGGUCAGGCUAGGGGUCCCUGCAUUGGAGCUUCCUAGAAACUAUAGCGGGUUUUCUGAAGCUAGUGACCCUGCCUCGCCUCCUCGGUAGAGGUGUAUGAGAUUGGCUUUCUCUUGGAAGAUGAGUAACAUGACUUGUGGGUAAAGACGCGCAACCUCUGAAGAGUGUAAAACUGGUAUAUCAGCCGUGCUCACGGUCAUGAGCAGCUCGAACCCUCAGAUGAUUAAUUUAUGGAAUUAAAUUCAAUUUGUCAUAUGCAUUGCAUUGAGGGUGUUGUUAUCAUUUUUGUUCUACUACUUAAUUGGGUUGGUAUUUACUUAUACUUAGCAAUUGCUAAUAAAAUUUUGACCAACUUUAAAAGCAAUGCUCAGCUCUAACCAUCCUCUUUGGUUAGCCUUACACUUCACAUGAGCUCCACCUUUGGCGAGUUCAUGCACAUUAUUCUCCACAACUUGUUGAGCGAUGAACGUAUGUGAGCUCACUCUUGCUGCCUCACACCCCCCACAGGUUAAGAACAGGUACCGCAAGAUGAGGCGCAUGGAGGAUGCCAUGACGAGGUCGUGAGAGGUCUAGGUCGUCGUCUCCCAGUCAACUUUGGAUUGCUGGAUCGUUGUCUCCAUAUGAUGUAAUUAUUUAUUUAUUUUGUACAGAACUCCUAUUAUAUAGUAAAGAUGUGACAUUCGUUUCUGUACCGCUAUUCAUCAUAUGUGUGAGACUUGGUCCCAGCAUAGCUGGUGUUUAUUUCGCGCUCGG